Molecule: long non-coding RNA, 1088 nt
Organism: Anoplopoma fimbria (sablefish)
Lineage: Eukaryota; Metazoa; Chordata; Actinopteri; Perciformes; Anoplopomatidae
Exons: 3
Source: RefSeq, a predicted model, not a curated record
GAGGAGGAGGAAGAUAAAGUCACAGGUCAGGAGGGGAAAAAACAUGUUCCAAAAUGUUGCAGCUUUCCGUGGUCAAAUAAAUUUGUCAGCCGUCAUCUUACUUCCUUUCCUGAAUACUCUAUUCCACUAAAGGUUUCACAAUAAAUGAUAAUGAAAAUAAAUAUAAAAACUUAGAGUACAGGGAACAAUUAGAGUUUUGCCAAAUCCACCAGAUUAUGAACAAGCUAAAAGGGCAAAUUAAGAUUUGAAUAGUUUCAUUAACUGCUUUAUUUCUGCUUGUUGCUUGAAAUCAUGAGGAUGCAUUGAACAUCUCUGUGUUUAUGUUUACUGUGGCAGAGUUGGAGCUUUGUGUGGACGAGCCAGUGGAGUUAUUUGUCGACGACCCAGCCGAGGUGUCGUGGCUGGCUGAGCUGUCUGUCAAUGGACCUGUGGGGUUACCCUCUUCUUAUUGGGCAGCUGUCGCCGUGGAAAUGAAACAGGUUCUGCGGAGGAGAGCUGAUGAAGGGGUUUCUGUGGACUAAUGAACAGCCAGAGGCAAAAGGGAUUUAUUCCAAGCUCUGGACAAGAUUCCUAAUGUUACUGCUCUGAUGCUCACAUCAUAGAUUCUCUAGCUAAUAUAUCAAUUAUGCUUGUAAUUACUGUUUAUCUCCAGGGCAACAUAAACUCAGACAAUUACCUUUUACUAACUGUAUGUAAAUGAUAAUUAUAUAAUAAUGAUUACUAAAAACUUUUUUUGUAUAUUUUCAAGGUUAAUACUUUUCUGCUUUCUUGAGGUUCAGAUUAUGUUCAUGGGUUGAGAUAAACCUAAUUCAAAGAAACAAAAUAUGGGCUUCUUAUUACAAAAUGUUACUUAUAUACUUGACAUUUCCCAAAUUAUGUUUUAAAGAUUUAUAAUAAAGAAUUGGUAAAAUUGUUUGGGGGUAAAACUAAAUAAUAUUAUUUGUUAAACAAUACCAAUAUGAAAAACAAAAAACUUACAGACGUCAAGCCUCAAUCUGGUGUAAUAUGUACAUUCCCAGAAAUAUUCUUUACAGAAACAUUAUUGUAUAUAUAAAAUAUGUAAAUAAUGAAUUAAUAUGAAAUAAAUA